ACUUUAUUCCCAUAUAAAAGAAGUUUACAACCCAUAGGGCAGUCAUCCUUCACGCGUACUUGGCUGGUUCAGACUCUCGUCCAUUGACCAAUAUUCCUCA
RNAcentral lists this ribosomal RNA (100 nucleotides) under uncultured bacterium. RNAcentral's name for it is "partial 16S ribosomal RNA". The record is from RNAcentral.